This 402-nucleotide ribosomal RNA is filed under the name uncultured bacterium. RNAcentral describes it as "bacterial SSU rRNA". It matches the Rfam family "Bacterial small subunit ribosomal RNA", at positions 354 to 773 of the family's 1533-position model. The record is from RNAcentral.
GUCGGGAAUUUUGCGCAAUGGACGAAAGUCUGACGCAGCAACGCCGCGUGAGGGAUGACGGCCUUCGGGUUGUAAACCUCUUUUAUCAGGGAAGAUAAUGACGGUACCUGAUGAAUAAGUCACGGCUAACUACGUGCCAGCAGCCGCGGUAAUACGUAGGUGACAAGCGUUGUCCGGAUUUACUGGGCGUAAAGAGCGCGCAGGCGGUCGAUCAAGUCGAGUGUGAAAGCCCCCGGCUCAACUGGGGAGGGUCAUUCGAUACUGAUCGACUCGAAGGCAGGAGAGGGUAGUGGAAUUCCCGGUGUAGUGGUGAAAUGCGUAGAUAUCGGGAGGAACACCAGUGGCGAAGGCGACUACCUGGCCUGUUCUUGACGCUGAGGCGCGAAAGCUAGGGGAGCAAAC